ACUAACCCGUUGACCCAAAUAUAACCUAUUUAAUAAUUAUAUUAAAUUCAAUGAUUUAUACAUAUUUAUUCGCGUGAGGUAAUCAAGUCAUGUCAAAUUUUAUCAGCUCUACCGAUGGCCGCAGUCGGGGACUUCUUUUGUUGAAAUUAAAUCUUAUCGCACAGUAGCUAGUGACUUUUCUCUCGGGAGACGUAAAUCUUGGAGUUAAUCAUUGGGUAGUGCCAAGUGUGGGCCACCGACUAUAAAUCAUUCAGUAGGUUGAUUGGGUGUCGGGGUUGUGGUUUAAUUUAGAGAUCAAUGCAACUUAUAAAAUCUUUACAAAAUAUUCUAGCAGCUUAAAUUUUAUAGCAAAGCUACCGCAUUAAUUCGAAAUAGAGCUUUAAACAAAUUUAUUGCAAUACAAUUGCUCAGAUUUAGAGCACUGAGAUUCAUUGUUAGCAAUCUAUAAGAACUUUGAAUUAAUGAAUUAGCUUAGUGCAACUCGUGAUCAUAAGUUUAUUAAAAUAUAUAGUUCUAUCUGAUUCAGAAUUUUAAACUUCAUUAAAAUCCGAUAAAAAUAUUAGACCAUAAGUUUAAUAGAAUAAUAUCAUAAUAUUAUUAAAAUUUUCACGGUUAUUACACUAUUAAACUAUAUGAUUUAAUAACUUUUUUAAAUUUAACAAAUUUAAGAUUUUAAAAAUUAUAUAUACGUAUGUGUGCGUGGCCAUGCAGUUAUUUAGCUCCUAUGGUGCUAGUUUAGAAACAAAAUAGAUUUGCCUUUGUCUGUUUUGCCCAUAAUGUUUGGCCCAAUUGGGGCAUCAAACGAUUAGUUUGGGCCAAUACGGCCCAAGACCCUAUCAUAGUCAAAGAUCCUCAAUCAGUUAGUAUUGAAACUACCAUUUAUAUGCAGCAAUACACAAAUUUGAUGACUAAGAAAGAGUAAAUCACACCAUGCUUUCUCUCUCCCAGCGAAGCUGAACUGCUGAAGCUCUCAACCGAUAUUGCAAAAUCGUUUUAAUUUUCUUUUGGAAAUGUUUAAUUAUAUUAUACAUUUUUAUAUUGUAUGCAUAAAGCCUAUAAAAAUAUUCAACUGAAGUCACAUAUAAGCCCAAAAGAAAUUUAUAAUUGAAGCCCAACACAAAGAAGCAAAGAAAAUAAAUUCUCAUAACUAUUUGGUGAGACUAAAACACUCUGCAAAAGUGUCAACCAGGGGUGUUCAUGGAUCAUAUUUUACGGAUUGAAUAUUUAUGCAUAUUCGAUCUACGAUUUUGUGGAUUAUAAAUUUUUAAUCCAAUCCAAUCCACGAAUUGAUGAAAUUCAAUAUAAAUCCAAUCCAUACAUCUACAGAUCGGAUGCGGAUUUGACUCAAUCCAUAUCCAAUCUACCAUUUUACGGAUUAGUUUGCAGACUAAAAUUUUUUAAUUCUUUCCAAUCCACAAACUAACUACAUAAAAAAAUUUAAUAUA
RNAcentral lists this long non-coding RNA (1445 nucleotides) under Citrus x clementina. RNAcentral describes it as "Citrus clementina (C. clementina) long non-coding RNA (CCLE_LNC003048)". The record is from RNAcentral. Lineage: Eukaryota; Viridiplantae; Streptophyta; Magnoliopsida; Sapindales; Rutaceae.